This 460-nucleotide ribosomal RNA is filed under the name uncultured bacterium. RNAcentral describes it as "partial 16S ribosomal RNA". It matches the Rfam family "Bacterial small subunit ribosomal RNA", at positions 338 to 795 of the family's 1533-position model. The record is from RNAcentral.
CCUACGGGUGGCAGCAGUGAGGAAUAUUGGUCAAUGGACGCAAGUCUGAACCAGCCAUGCCGCGUGCAGGAAGACGGCUCUAUGAGUUGUAAACUGCUUUUGUACGAGGGUAAACGCAGAUACGUGUAUCUGUCUGAAAGUAUCGUACGAAUAAGGAACGGCUAACUCCGUGCCAGCAGCCGCGGUAAUACGGAGGAUUCAAGCGUUAUCCGGAUUUAUUGGGUUUAAAGGGUGCGUAGGCGGUCGGAUAAGUUAGAGGUGAAAUCCCGAGGCUUAACUUCGGAAUUGCCUCUGAUACUGUUCGGCGAGAGUGUAGUAGCGGUAGGCGGAAUGUAUGGUGUAGCGGUGAAAUGCUUAGAGAUCAUACAGAACACCGAUUGCGAAGGCAGCUUACCAAGCUACUUCUGACGUUGAGGCACGAAAGCGUGGGGAGCAAACAGGAUUAGAUACCCGGGUAGUC